Molecule: ribosomal RNA, 1245 nt
Filed under: metagenome
Description: bacterial LSU rRNA
Rfam family: Bacterial large subunit ribosomal RNA
Source: RNAcentral
UGAAUACGAGAUGCUACGGCGUCGAAGCAGUGUAUGUCAGACUUCCAAGAAAAGCUCGCAAUGUCAUAAAUAAAGAAUGCCUGUACCAUAACCGACACAGGUGGGUAGGUAGAGUAUACUAAGGGGCGCGAGAUAACUCUCUCUAAGGAACUCGGCAAAAUAACUCCGUAACUUCGGGAGAAGGAGUGCCUUCUUUAAGAAGGUUGCAAUAACAAGAUCCAAGCAACUGUUUAUCAAAAACACAGGUCUCCGCUAAGUCGUAAGACGAUGUAUGGGGGCUGACGCCUGCCCAGUGCCAGAAGGUUAAAGAAGCUGGUUAGCAAUAGCGAAGCUGGUGACUGAAGCCCUGGUGAACGGCGGCCGUAACAAUAACGGUCCUAAGGUAGCGAAAUUCCUUGUCGGGUAAGUUCCGACCCGCACGAAAGGCGUAAUGAUUUGGAUACUGUCUCGGAGAGGGACUCGGUGAAAUAGACUUGUCUGUGAAGAUGCGGACUACCUGCACCAGGACAGAAAGACCCUACGAAGCUUUACUGUAACCUGAAAUUGAAAUUGGACUUUAUUUGCGCAGUAUAGGUGGGAGGCGUUGAAAGUAAUCUUGCGGGAUUAGUGGAGCCAUCAGUGAGAUACCACUCCUAUAAUGUUAGAUUUCUAACUUUGGAUCAUGAUCUGGUCAAAGAACAGUUUCAGGCGGGCAGUCUGACUGGGGCGGUCGCCUCCCAAAUGGUAACGGAGGCGUACAAAGGUUUCCUCUGAACGGGUAGAAAUCGUAUCUAGAGUGUAAAGGCAUAAGGAAGCUUGACUGUGAGACCUACAAGUCGAGCAGGGACGAAAGUCGGUCUUAGUGAUCUGACGGUGCUGAGUGGAAAGGCCGUCACUCAACGGAUAAAAGUUACUCUAAGGAUAACAGGCUGAUCUCCCCCAAGAGUUCACAUCGACGGGGAGGUUUGGCACCUCGAUGUCGGCUCAUCGCAUCCUGGGGCGGUAGUACGUCCCAAGGGUUGGGCUGUUCGCCCAUGAAAGCGGUACGCGAGCUGGGUUCAGAACGUCGUGAGACAGUUCGGUCCAUAUCCGGUGUAGGCGUUAGAAUAUUGAGAGGAGCCUUCUCUAGUACGAGAGGACCGAGAAGGACAUACCUCUGGUGUACCAGUUAUCGUGCCAACGGUAAACGCUGGGUAGCUAUGUAUGGAGAGGAUAACCGCUGAAAGCAUCUAAGUGGGAAGCCCACCUCAAGAUGAGUAUUCUCAC